Molecule: ribosomal RNA, 371 nt
Filed under: uncultured organism
Description: bacterial SSU rRNA
Rfam family: Bacterial small subunit ribosomal RNA
Source: RNAcentral
CGGGGAGCAAGCGUUGUUCGGAUUUACUGGGCGUAAAGGGCGCGUAGGCGGCACUGCAAGUCGACUGUGAAAUCUCCGGGCUUAACCCGGAAAGGUCAGCCGAUACUGCGGGGCUAGAGUGCAGAAGGGGCAACUGGAAUUCUCGGUGUAGCGGUGAAAUGCGUAGAUAUCGAGAGGAACACCUGCGGCGAAGGCGGGUUGCUGGGCUGACACUGACGCUGAUGCGCGAAAGCUAGGGGAGCGAACGGGAUUAGAUACCCCGGUAGUCCUAGCCUUAAACGAUGAAUGCUUGGUGUCUGGGGUUUUAUAGUCCCCGGGUGCCGUCGCUAACGCUUUAAGCAUUCCGCCUGGGGAGUACGGUCGCAAGACUG